This 586-nucleotide ribosomal RNA is filed under the name Curvularia aeria. Its description in RNAcentral is "eukaryotic LSU rRNA". The stretch from base 217 to 370 matches the Rfam family "5.8S ribosomal RNA". The record is from RNAcentral. Lineage: Eukaryota; Fungi; Ascomycota; Dothideomycetes; Pleosporales; Pleosporaceae.
GGAAGUAAAAGUCGUAACAAGCCCUCCGUAGGGGUACCUGCGGAGGGAUCAUUACACAAAUUAAAAUAUGAAGGCUCGAGCUGGAUUAUUUUUAUCACCCUUGUCUUUUGCGCACUUGUUGUUUCCUGGGCGGGUUCGCCCGCCACCAGGACCACACCAUAAACCUUUUUUAUGCAGUUGCAAUCAGCGUCAGUAUAACAAAUGUAAAUCAUUUACAACUUUCAACAACGGAUCUCUUGGUUCUGGCAUCGAUGAAGAACGCAGCGAAAUGCGAUACGUAGUGUGAAUUGCAGAAUUCAGUGAAUCAUCGAAUCUUUGAACGCACAUUGCGCCCUUUGGUAUUCCAAAGGGCAUGCCUGUUCGAGCGUCAUUUGUACCCUCAAGCUUUGCUUGGUGUUGGGCGUCUUUUUGUCUUUGGCCUCGCCCAAAGACUCGCCUUAAAACGAUUGGCAGCCGGCCUACUGGUUUCGCAGCGCAGCACAUUUUUGCGCUUGCAAUCAGCAAAAAGGACGGCAAUCCAUCAAGACUACAUUUUUACGUUUGACCUCGGAUCAGGUAGGGAUACCCGCUGAACUUAAGCAUAUCA